This is a non-coding RNA of Phrynosoma platyrhinos (Desert horned lizard), 72 nucleotides long. The record is from the annotation of a GenBank genome assembly. NCBI's taxonomy places the organism in Eukaryota, Metazoa, Chordata, Lepidosauria, Squamata, Phrynosomatidae.
ACCAGUGUGGCGUAGUGGUUUCAGUGUUGGGAUUACAACUUGGAGACUGGGGUUCAAUUCCCUGUUUGGGUG